UGCCUCAAGAUGAGAUCUCACUGGGAACUUGAUUCCCCUGAAGGGCCGUCGAAGACUACGACGUUGAUAGGCUGGGUGUGUAAGCGUUGUGAGGCGUUGAGCUAACCAGUACUAAUUGCCCGUGAGGCUUGACCAUAUAACACCCAAACA
This 150-nucleotide ribosomal RNA is filed under the name Pseudomonas aeruginosa. Its description in RNAcentral is "partial 23S ribosomal RNA". It matches the Rfam family "Bacterial large subunit ribosomal RNA", at positions 2795 to 2925 of the family's 2925-position model. The record is from RNAcentral. Lineage: Bacteria; Pseudomonadati; Pseudomonadota; Gammaproteobacteria; Pseudomonadales; Pseudomonadaceae.